GGGAAUCUGCCCUUGGGUUCGGAAUAACAGUGAGAAAUUACUGCUAAUACCGGAUGAUGUCUUCGGACCAAAGAUUUAUCGCCCAGGGAUGAGCCCGCGUAGGAUUAGGUAGUUGGUGGGGUAAUGGCCUACCAAGCCGACGGUCCUUAGCUGGUCUGAGAGGAUGAUCAGCCACACUGGGACUGAGACACGGCCCAGACUCCUACGGGAGGCAGCAGUGGGGAAUAUUGGACAAUGGGCGAAAGCCUGAUCCAGCAAUGCCGCGUGAGUGAUGAAGGCCUUAGGGUUGUAAAGCUCUUUUACCCGGGAUGAUAAUGACAGUACCGGGAGAAUAAGCUCCGGCUAACUCCGUGCCAGCAGCCGCGGUAAUACGGAGGGAGCUAGCGUUGUUCGGAAUUACUGGGCGUAAAGCGCGCGUAGGCGGCUGCUCAAGUCAGAGGUGAAAGCCCGGGGCUCAACCCCGGAACUGCCUUUGAAACUAGGUAGCUAGAAUCUUGGAGAGGUCAGUGGAAUUCCGAGU
This 520-nucleotide ribosomal RNA is filed under the name uncultured bacterium. Its description in RNAcentral is "bacterial SSU rRNA". It matches the Rfam family "Bacterial small subunit ribosomal RNA", at positions 120 to 674 of the family's 1533-position model. The record is from RNAcentral.